RNAcentral lists this ribosomal RNA (776 nucleotides) under uncultured Neocallimastigales. RNAcentral describes it as "partial large subunit ribosomal RNA". It matches the Rfam family "Eukaryotic large subunit ribosomal RNA", at positions 23 to 643 of the family's 3401-position model. Lineage: Eukaryota; Fungi; Neocallimastigomycota; Neocallimastigomycetes; Neocallimastigales. The record is from RNAcentral.
AUAGAGACUCAGAGCUGCAUAUCAAUAAGCGGAGGAAAAGAAACUAACAAGGAUUCCCCUAGUAACGGCGAGUGAAGCGGGAAGAGCUCAAAUUUGAAAUCUUCAAGGGUUUCCCUUGACGAAUUGUAGUUUAAAGAAGUGUUUUCUGUUAGAGAGGUGGUAAAAGUUCUUUGGAAUAGGACAUCAUAGAGGGUGAGAAUCCCGUAUUUGACCAUUAUUUUCAGCUGUGUGAUUCACUUUCAAAGAGUCGGAUUGUUUGGGAAUGCAGUCCAAAAUGGGUGGUAAAUUUCAUCUAAGGCUAAAUAUUGGCGAGAGACCGAUAGCGAACAAGUACCGUGAGGGAAAGAUGAAAAGAACUUUGAAAAGAGAGUUAAACAGUACGUGAAAUUGUCAAAAGGGAAGCGUUUGACACCAGUGUUGUUUUUCCGAAAAUCAAUUACGAAUGUUUUAUUUUUAGAGAGUUAUGACUUCAUCGGCUUGCUUCUUUCUUUACUGAAACUUUCUUAAUGCACUUUUCGGUUAACAAGUCAACAUCAAUUUCUUUUGUUGUAAAAGGGUAUGAGGAAGGUGGCUUUCUUUUCGGAGAAAGUGUUUAUAGCCUUGUACCUCUACAAUCGGAGAGAUUGAGGUCUGCAGCGUAGAUCCUUCGGGGUUAGAUACAGUUUGUGCUAAGUUAUAGCUUUUCAUAGACAACUUGUUGAUUAUGUUAAGUCUUGUAGCUUACUCGCUUAUGCUAUUUUACCUACGCUUAGGAUGUUGAUAUGCAUGACUGAUAU